Camelus ferus (Wild Bactrian camel) is the source of this 73-nucleotide transfer RNA. It matches the Rfam family "tRNA". From Rfam's summary of the family: Transfer RNA (tRNA) molecules are approximately 80 nucleotides in length. Their secondary structure includes four short double-helical elements and three loops (D, anti-codon, and T loops). Further hydrogen bonds mediate the characteristic L-shaped molecular structure. tRNAs have two regions of fundamental functional importance: the anti-codon, which is responsible for specific mRNA codon recognition, and the 3' end, to which the tRNAs corresponding amino acid is attached (by aminoacyl-tRNA synthetases). tRNAs cope with the degeneracy of the genetic code in two manners: having more than one tRNA (with a specific anti-codon) for a particular amino acid; and 'wobble' base-pairing, i.e. permitting non-standard base-pairing at the 3rd anti-codon position. The record is from Rfam. NCBI's taxonomy places the organism in Eukaryota, Metazoa, Chordata, Mammalia, Artiodactyla, Camelidae.
GAGGGUAUAGCUCAAGUGGUAGAGUGCGUGGUUAGCAUGCACGAGGUCCUGGGUUCAAUCCCCAGUACCUCCU